This 73-nucleotide transfer RNA is filed under the name Phycisphaeraceae bacterium. Its description in RNAcentral is "tRNA-Gly". It matches the Rfam family "tRNA". Rfam says of the family: Transfer RNA (tRNA) molecules are approximately 80 nucleotides in length. Their secondary structure includes four short double-helical elements and three loops (D, anti-codon, and T loops). Further hydrogen bonds mediate the characteristic L-shaped molecular structure. tRNAs have two regions of fundamental functional importance: the anti-codon, which is responsible for specific mRNA codon recognition, and the 3' end, to which the tRNAs corresponding amino acid is attached (by aminoacyl-tRNA synthetases). tRNAs cope with the degeneracy of the genetic code in two manners: having more than one tRNA (with a specific anti-codon) for a particular amino acid; and 'wobble' base-pairing, i.e. permitting non-standard base-pairing at the 3rd anti-codon position. Lineage: Bacteria; Pseudomonadati; Planctomycetota; Phycisphaerae; Phycisphaerales; Phycisphaeraceae. The record is from RNAcentral.
GUGGGUGUAACUCAGUUGGUAGAGUAUUUGCUUCCCAAGCAAACUGUCGCCGGUUCGAAUCCGGUCACCCGCU